CCCCGCCCCGCCGGACUCCAUUUCCCAGAAGGCUCCGGGCUCCGCUCGGCCAAAGCUGGUUGUCGAUCGGAUCCAGCGUGAACAGGACAGCCAUGGAUUGGUGGCCUGGAACUCUCAAAGCAUAAAAAUCUAUCAGGAGGGAACUUCUUCAGUAAUUUUAGGAGCGGAAGCAUACUUUAUUAGUGUUGCAUCAGCACUACUGUGGGAAGAGAUUACAGAAUGGUCUGUCCCUUGGAGACCUCUGUGCUGUGGCCAGGGAUGUUUUGUGAAAGGUGAAAUAAAAUGGAGUCACUAAUGCCAAGGGGUUUUAAAUGGAGCUUGGAGGCCAUUAAGGUAGAUAGACCUUGUGCAUGUCCUCACCCAUUGGUACCAAAAACUUUUGAACUGGGCCAAACUGCAAAUAAGCCAAAAACUUGGCCCAAACACCAGCUACUUGCUACAGAAGAGACUUUGCUUAGUGAUGGCCAUAGCAACCAAUUAUAUUCAGCAGCCGGUGCUCACCCCAUAGUGGACACUGGGAGGCAGCAGAUUGCUUCACCCUUCAGCUGGUGCAAUUCCACCUAUGGCCACUGGCCACUUGCCUCAGUUUCACAAGCCAGGAUUCUCCAAGAAGAUAUGAGAGCGGGAAUGAGAGCUGGGCUUCCACUUGGAAGCCUGAGCAGUGCAGAUCUCUGCCUGGUAAAGAGCAGCUUCUGCUGCACCUGUCCUCUGGGGAUGUUCCAUCUGCCCCUCUUCUCCAUGGUCCUGUGCCUGACAGUGCUGGGCUGGACUCCUGGGGCAGAUGUAGGCUGUCAGCUGGGGCUGGCUCUUGGUCCCUGAAGCACACUGUGCUCUGAUGGGAAGGCCCCAAGGGAGUUUAAAGAGCAUGUGUGUCCACUGUCAGUCCAUGACUGGGUGCUAGUAGCAAUCAGAGGCGGUAUAGGUAGGAGUUGCUGAGGAAGCAGGGUAGGAAAUAGAAUAUAAAGAGAAACUGCGAAGAUUCCAGAUGUCCUUUCAUGAGGCACCCCUUGAGCCUCACACCAGUCUUGCCUGUAGCUCCCAGCCCUCUCCGUGGCCUCCACCUCUCCGGCACAGGCUCAGAUGUGCCACCAGCAGCAGCAGCUGACACCGGUGGAGCGCUCAUCCUGUGCCAUCCUCCGUUCUAAGUGCUUCCUGUAAUGAUCCUUUUGUCCUCCCCCAUGAGGGGGUAGCAUCAUUAUGCCCUAUUUUACAGGUCAGUAAACUGAGGCUUACAGAGGUUAGGUGACUUGUCCAGGUCACACAGGCUGUGAGUGAGUAGUACAACCAGAAUUUGAACUCAGCCCACUGGCUCUUACCCACCAUGCUGCACUGGCUCCUGGUUCCCGGAUUACAGAGGAACGAGACCAAAGUAGGGUUGAAGCCACGAUGAUGUUUUCCUUGCCCACAAACUUAACCAUCUUUCUCAUCUCAUUCUCUAUUCUCUCAUCUCUCUUCUAUUUCAUCUCUGUGUGUCUCCCUUCUCUAUUUUCUCUCUCAUCUCUCUCUAAAUCUAUAUCUACAUAAUAGCAGGAUUAUCAAUAAGCAGAAAACAGGAAAGAAUCUGAAUGUGGAACAAUGUGAGGUUGAUUUAAGUUCUGAUGUAUUUACACAAUGAUAGCCUUAAUUUGUUGAAUU
Long non-coding RNA from Manis pentadactyla (Chinese pangolin), 1635 nucleotides. RefSeq lists it as uncharacterized. The transcript is spliced from 2 exons. Lineage: Eukaryota; Metazoa; Chordata; Mammalia; Pholidota; Manidae. The record is from RefSeq and is a predicted model, not a curated record.